UGGGGAAUUUUGGACAAUGGGCGAAAGCCUGAUCCAGCAAUGCCGCGUGUGUGAAGAAGGCCUUCGGGUUGUAAAGCACUUUUGUCCGGAAAGAAAUCCUUGGCUCUAAUACAGUCGGGGGAUGACGGUACCGGAAGAAUAAGCACCGGCUAACUACGUGCCAGCAGCCGCGGUAAUACGUAGGGUACAAGCGUUAAUCGGAAUUACUGGGCGUAAAGCGUGCGCAGGCGGUUUGCUAAGACCGAUGUGAAAUCCCCGGGCUCAACCUGGGAACUGCAUUGGUGACUGGCAGGCUAGAGUAUGGCAGAGGGGGGUAGAAUUCCACGUGUAGCAGUGAAAUGCGUAGAGAUGUGGAGGAAUACCGAUGGCGAAGGCAGCCCCCUGGGCCAAUACUGACGCUCAUGCACGAAAGCGUGGGGAGCAAACAGGAUUAGAUACCCUGGUAGUCCACGCCCUAAACGAUGUCAACUAGUUGUUGGGGAUUCAUUUCCUUAGUAACGUAGCUAACGCGUGAAGUUGACCGCCUGGGGAGUACGGUCGCAAGAUUAAAACUCAAAUGAAUUGACGGGGUCAUA
Molecule: ribosomal RNA, 575 nt
Filed under: uncultured bacterium
Lineage: Bacteria
Description: partial 16S ribosomal RNA
Rfam family: Bacterial small subunit ribosomal RNA
Source: RNAcentral